RNAcentral lists this long non-coding RNA (287 nucleotides) under Hordeum vulgare. RNAcentral's name for it is "long non-coding RNA (HVUL_LNC010379)". The record is from RNAcentral. Lineage: Eukaryota; Viridiplantae; Streptophyta; Magnoliopsida; Poales; Poaceae.
AUCAUCACCUUAACGAACUCCUCGUAGUUGAUCUGCCCGUCGCCGUCGACAUCGGCCUCGCGGAUCAUCUCGUCCACCUCCUCGUCCGUUAGCUUCUCGCCGAGGUUGGUCAUGACGUGGCGGAGCUCCGCGGCCGAGAUGAAGCCGUUCUGGUCCUUAUCGAACACCCGGAAAGCCUCCUUGAGCUCUUCCUCCGAGUCGGUGUCCUUCAUCUUGCGAGCCAUCAGGUUGAGGAAUUCCGGGAAGUCGAUAGUGCCGUUGCCGUCUGCAUCCACCUCGUUGAUCAU